CACGCUCGGUUCUCGUUCGAUCACCGAAGUUAAGCAUCGUAGAGCCAGGUCAGUACUUAGAUGGGGGACCGCUUGGGAACACCUGGUACUGUAAGC
Molecule: ribosomal RNA, 96 nt
Filed under: Acanthosepion pharaonis
Lineage: Eukaryota; Metazoa; Mollusca; Cephalopoda; Sepiida; Sepiidae
Source: RNAcentral